ACCCCUGUGAGAAUGCCCGAACAGGUUUCUGCCCGAGAUCAAGGAGCCGGCAUCAGGCACCCUCCUUUUGGAGCCUACGACGCCUUGCUAAGCCACACCCCCAAGGGAAUGCAGCAGUGAUAAACCUUAAGCAAUAAGCGAAAGCUUGACUUAGUUAUAGUUACUAGGACUGGUUAAUCUCGUGCCAGCCACCGCGGUUAUACGAGAAGUCCAAGCAGAUAGGUAACGGCGUAAAGCGUGGCUAAGGAAAUUACUAAAAAUAAAGCGGAACACCCUCAAUGCUGUUAUACGUAAGCGAGGUUAAAUAAAGACAUCUACGAAAGUGGCUUCAUACCUAUCCCGACCCACGAAAGCUUUGGCACAAACUGGGAUUAGAUACCCCACUAUGCUCAGCCUUAAACAUUGAUGGCAGCCUACAGCAUGCCAUCCGCCCGGGGAGUACGAGCGCAAGCUUAAAACCCAAAGGACUUGGCGGUGCUUCACAUCCAUCUAGAGGAGCCUGUCCUAGAACCGAUGACCCUCGUUCAACCUCACCCCUCCUUGAAUAUUCCUUCA
This 555-nucleotide ribosomal RNA is filed under the name Parapercis multifasciata (gold-birdled sandsmelt). RNAcentral describes it as "partial 12S rRNA". It matches the Rfam family "Bacterial small subunit ribosomal RNA", at positions 186 to 995 of the family's 1533-position model. The record is from RNAcentral. Lineage: Eukaryota; Metazoa; Chordata; Actinopteri; Uranoscopiformes; Pinguipedidae.